Molecule: ribosomal RNA, 253 nt
Filed under: uncultured bacterium
Lineage: Bacteria
Description: partial 16S ribosomal RNA
Rfam family: Bacterial small subunit ribosomal RNA
Source: RNAcentral
UACGUAGGGCGCAAGCGUUGUCCGGAAUUAUUGGGCGUAAAGAGCUCGUAGGCGGUUUGUCGCGUCUGUCGUGAAAGCUUGGGGCUUAACCCCGAGUCUGCGGUGGAUACGGGCAGACUAGAGGUAUGCAGGGGAGAACGGAAUUCCUGGUGUAGCGGUGAAAUGCGCAGAUAUCAGGAGGAACACCGAUGGCGAAGGCAGCUCGCUGGGACGGUACUGACGCUGAGGCGCGAAAGCGUGGGGAGCGAACAGG